CUCCUCCUGAGAAGACGACCACCAACUGGACCUAUAAGAACUCCUACUCCGUCCCCAAGACUCUUAACUUUUAACUCACCCGUCCGCUAUCAAAUAUCCAGCUUUUGUGCGGCAAAACCCUUGACUUUUUUUUCUCAAAAGUGAGUAAGUGUUGUGGUUCUACGUCGUAACGAGGAUCUAACCGAAAACGAAUCAUGGGAUGGCGCUGGAGCUCCGCUGGGUUUUUUGCUUGUCUGUUAAUACAAGCAACAUUUAUUCUAUGUCAGGAGGAGAACGAGAUUACUCUUAACGAUCUCAUUCUAAUCGAAGAAAACGAACCAGUCUUUUUCGAGGAGCCAUCUCAUAUCCACAAAAGAGAUGCUGGGUGUAUAUUCGAACCUGAAAUAAUUCCAGAGGGCUCGGAGCAGUUUGGGAUUCGACUAAAACCUUUAAAAGCCAAAUCUACCUCCUUCCUGGAGCCGGCCGCCUCCACAUAUCGUGCAGCUCAAUACCAGCCUGUGCGAUAUAAUUUGCCUCCACUUACGACCAAUGAAAAUGCUAAAGUAAGCACCGACUACAGACAGAAAAACGCGCCCGCAAAAAUUAACCAAAAUCCAUUCAGUGUUAGCAAAUAUAAAGCGACAACUCCGAAGUACCCGCUAACCACACCGGAGACCGACGAUGCAGUGGAGCCCGCUGGAAGCGGCGAUGUCUUCGAGGCUAUCAAACCCUCUACCUCGGCCCCCGAGUAUCUCCCUCCUUACCAAGAGCCCCAAACACCCGUUCCAAGUUACAGACCAACCUCUGCGCCCAUCUCAAGACAGCGGCUUGUUCAGCAACCGACGCAAAUGGUGAGCUACAUCAACCCAGCGCCGGCACAACCUCUGACUCAAAAUUACCUCCCACCGGAAACAGCGGCAUCAAACGUCGACACAGUAAAGCAGCCAUUCCAAAAUUCCGUUUACUACACUCCGACGGUUCCGACGGUAAGACCGCUUGUUUCACAAUCAGUGACAAACUACUAUUUCCCGACACAAAGGACGACUCUCGCACCCAUCAGAGUUGAAAGUUUGAAGAGUUACCUACCACCAGAAAAUGCAGCGCCUUCGAAUGAGAACCCGGCCUUCGCUUUUCCGUCGACAACCACCCAGAAGCCUGCAACUCAAUCCAACGAGUAUCUUCCUCCCGAGAGCCCUGAGUCCACGAACGACAACCCAGCAUUUUUGCAACCGGCUCAGCCGAAAAAACCGGUCGACGGACUAGCCGGACGCUUCACCACACCCGACGAACACUAUCACACUCUCGAGGAACUGUGCAACGAUCCGUUCCACAGUUUCCUGUGCGAGCCCUUGAAGCCGAGAAGUAAAGACCGAUUCAAGAACCGGAACUCGAAAAAAGUGAACACUGGGAACAUUCCAGACGCAUCAUUUGUGCAACCACGUGUAGUCGCGCCUAGCACAACCAUUUCGCCGCCUACCAAUGAUCAGCCGUUAGUUCCCGCAAGUUCGUUCCAAGAUAUUACCAGAACUAAACUCCCGGAAGAAAAACACGAUUGUGAUAAGUCACAGCCGAUUGUUGCUGCAGCUUCAGUCAACCAGUCUCCACUAGUAUCAAAAAUUAAUGUGUCAUAUCUACCACCGGUCUCAACCACAACGACACAAGCACCAACCACAACAGCGGCUCCACAGACUCCAUCGACAGGUUUGUAUGCGAAGAAUCCUUUCAGUGAGCUCGUGUUCCAGAGUCCUAUUAAGCAGACUGCAAAACCGCAGCCAUUCAUCGCUAAGACCUACUUGCAACCUCAAACCAACGCCAUAGAAGAAAAACCCGUUUUACCGCAGCCUUCAAACAAUCAGUUUUCGUUCAUUCCUCGUCAGUUCCCAUCGACAACUAAGCCCCUUAAAAUCCCAGACUACCCUUGCAACAAGCAUAACUCGAUUGGUGAGACUCCAGCUGCUUCAUCGGUAUCUGAGAAUGUACAGGGAUACAACUACCCUCAGCCUCAACCUCCUUUUCCUCAACCUGCCGCUUCGAAUAUCGUGACAACUGGUUACAAUUACCCACAACCAGCUGCUUCGGCCGCUGUUUUAACAGGAUAUAGUUAUCCUCAACCGUCUCCUUCAACCAGCGUGACAACGGGUACAACUACCCCGUACCAGCAGCUUCCUCACUCGUAUCAACUGGGUAUGAGGAACCUCAGCCGUCUCCUUCAACCACCACGACAACAGGCUACAACUACCCCGUGCCAGCGGCUUCCUCGCUGGUAUCAACUGGAUACGAACAACCUCAGCAAGCCUCUGCACCCGUCACUGGAUACAGCUACCCUCAGCCAAAUCCGACAUUCAACGAAAUCCCUCAAGCCUCAAAUGAACAACCUACUUUUUCUGGUUACCAGUACCCCGUUCCCGCUUUCAAUCAACAAUAUCUGCAACCCGCAGCAUCGAUCAACUAUUUCGUGCCUUCAGCUCGACCAGUAG
This 2456-nucleotide long non-coding RNA is filed under the name Bemisia tabaci. RNAcentral's name for it is "lncRNA ENSSSA1NGG000498". The record is from RNAcentral. Lineage: Eukaryota; Metazoa; Arthropoda; Insecta; Hemiptera; Aleyrodidae.